ACAUGCAAGUCGAGCGGUAGAGAGAAGCUUGCUUCUCUUGAGAGCGGCGGACGGGUGAGUAAUGCCUAGGAAUCUGCCUGGUAGUGGGGGAUAACGCUCGGAAACGGACGCUAAUACCGCAUACGUCCUACGGGAGAAAGCAGGGGACCUUCGGGCCUUGCGCUAUCAGAUGAGCCUAGGUCGGAUUAGCUAGUUGGUGGGGUAAUGGCUCACCAAGGCGACGAUCCGUAACUGGUCUGAGAGGAUGAUCAGUCACACUGGAACUGAGACACGGUCCAGACUCCUACGGGAGGCAGCAGUGGGGAAUAUUGGACAAUGGGCGAAAGCCUGAUCCAGCCAUGCCGCGUGUGUGAAGAAGGUCUUCGGAUUGUAAAGCACUUUAAGUUGGGAGGAAGGGCAGUAACCUAAUACGUUGCUGUCUUGACGUUACCGACAGAAUAAGCACCGGCUAACUCUGUGCCAGCAGCCGCGGUAAUACAGAGGGUGCAAGCGUUAAUCGGAAUUACUGGGCGUAAAGCGCGCGUAGGUGGUUUGUUAAGUUGGAUGUGAAAUCCCCGGGCUCAACCUGGGAACUGCAUUCAAAACUGACAAGCUAGAGUAUGGUAGAGGGUGGUGGAAUUUCCUGUGUAGCGGUGAAAUGCGUAGAUAUAGGAAGGAACACCAGUGGCGAAGGCGACCAC
RNAcentral lists this ribosomal RNA (680 nucleotides) under Pseudomonas sp. Its description in RNAcentral is "bacterial SSU rRNA". It matches the Rfam family "Bacterial small subunit ribosomal RNA", at positions 53 to 728 of the family's 1533-position model. The record is from RNAcentral. Lineage: Bacteria; Pseudomonadati; Pseudomonadota; Gammaproteobacteria; Pseudomonadales; Pseudomonadaceae.